This 67-nucleotide transfer RNA is filed under the name Coenobita clypeatus. RNAcentral's name for it is "tRNA-Tyr". It matches the Rfam family "tRNA". From Rfam's summary of the family: Transfer RNA (tRNA) molecules are approximately 80 nucleotides in length. Their secondary structure includes four short double-helical elements and three loops (D, anti-codon, and T loops). Lineage: Eukaryota; Metazoa; Arthropoda; Malacostraca; Decapoda; Coenobitidae. The record is from RNAcentral.
AAUGAAGUGGCCGAAAUUUGAAGGUAUUAGACUGUAAAUCUAAAGGUGGGUAGUUGCUCCUUCAUUA